RNAcentral lists this ribosomal RNA (470 nucleotides) under uncultured bacterium. Its description in RNAcentral is "bacterial SSU rRNA". It matches the Rfam family "Bacterial small subunit ribosomal RNA", at positions 8 to 524 of the family's 1533-position model. The record is from RNAcentral.
AGAGUUUGAUCAUGGCUCAGAGCGAACGCUGGCGGCAGGCCUAACACAUGCAAGUCGAACGGAUCCUUCGGGAUUAGUGGCGGACGGGUGAGUAACACGUGGGAACGUGCCCUUUGGUUCGGAACAACUCAGGGAAACUUGAGCUAAUACCGGAUGUGCCCUUCGGGGGAAAGAUUUAUCGCCAUUGGAGCGGCCCGCGUCUGAUUAGCUAGUUGGUGGGGUAAAGGCCCACCAAGGCGACGAUCAGUAGCUGGUCUGAGAGGAUGAUCAGCCACAUUGGGACUGAGACACGGCCCAAACUCCUACGGGAGGCAGCAGUGGGGAAUCUUGCGCAAUGGGCGAAAGCCUGACGCAGCCAUGCCGCGUGAAUGAUGAAGGUCUUAGGAUUGUAAAAUUCUUUCACCGGGGACGAUAAUGACGGUACCCGGAGAAGAAGCCCCGGCUAACUUCGUGCCAGCAGCCGCGGUAAU